Molecule: transfer RNA, 87 nt
Filed under: Candidatus Micrarchaeum sp.
Lineage: Archaea; Nanobdellati; Microcaldota; Candidatus Micrarchaeia; Candidatus Micrarchaeales; Candidatus Micrarchaeaceae
Description: tRNA-Val
Rfam family: tRNA
About the family: Transfer RNA (tRNA) molecules are approximately 80 nucleotides in length. Their secondary structure includes four short double-helical elements and three loops (D, anti-codon, and T loops).
Source: RNAcentral
GGGCCCGUGGUCCAACGGUUACGAUGCCAAGCGAAAGCGCAUAAGCCUUACACGCUGGAGACAGGAGUUCAACUCUCCUCGGGCCCA